Non-coding RNA from Electrophorus electricus (electric eel), 376 nucleotides. RefSeq annotates it as small Cajal body-specific RNA 2. Lineage: Eukaryota; Metazoa; Chordata; Actinopteri; Gymnotiformes; Gymnotidae. The record is from RefSeq and is a predicted model, not a curated record.
ACUUACUUGCGUGAGUGGUGUUGUGUGGUGAGCGUGGUUAUUGUUAUGUGCGAGUGAUUUGACUGUGUGUUUGUGUGCGCGUGUGUGUAAGUGUAAGAAUAACCUAAAAAUCUACACCAUGAUCUUAUUUGAUCUGUUCAGAGCUUUACCCCGCUUUGAUUCAGAGAUGAUAAAAACUGACUCGCUAGCCUAUUAUGGCAAUGGGCGUGCAGCCGCUUUAUAGCCAGCAAGCUAGCUCGCAAACUCUGGGGAUCCACAGUAGAAAUUGUGGUUAGAAAUGAUGAAUUGAUCAGAUAUACUAGUGCCGUUUGGAUAUUUGGGUUUGCCCCCAAUUUUCAUUUUGCGGCCAAUGAGUAUAGAAGCGAUUCUGAUCUUC